GGAGGAUGCGAGCGUUAUCCGGAUUUAUUGGGUUUAAAGGGUGCGUAGGCGGAAUAUCAAGUCAGCGGUAAAAAUUCGGGGCUCAACCCCGUCGUGCCGUUGAAACUGAUGUUCUUGAGUGGGCGAGAAGUAUGCGGAAUGCGUGGUGUAGCGGUGAAAUGCAUAGAUAUCACGCAGAACUCCGAUUGCGAAGGCAGCAUACCGGCGCCCAACUGACGCUGAAGCAAGAAAGCGUGGGUAUCGAA
RNAcentral lists this ribosomal RNA (245 nucleotides) under uncultured bacterium. Its description in RNAcentral is "partial 16S ribosomal RNA". It matches the Rfam family "Bacterial small subunit ribosomal RNA", at positions 527 to 772 of the family's 1533-position model. The record is from RNAcentral.